This 445-nucleotide ribosomal RNA is filed under the name uncultured bacterium. Its description in RNAcentral is "partial 16S ribosomal RNA". It matches the Rfam family "Bacterial small subunit ribosomal RNA", at positions 354 to 796 of the family's 1533-position model. The record is from RNAcentral.
GUGAGGAAUAUUGCGCAAUGGAGGCAACUCUGACGCAGCCAUGCCGCGUGCAGGAAGAAGGCGCUACGCGUUGUAAACUGCUUUUAACCGGGAAGAAACCCCAGGACGUGUCCUGGGUUGACGGUACCGGAGGAAUAAGCACCGGCUAACUUCGUGCCAGCAGCCGCGGUAAUACGAAGGGUGCAAGCGUUAUCCGGAUUCAUUGGGUUUAAAGGGUGCGUAGGCGGAGUGUUAAGUCAGUGGUGAAAUCCUGAAGCUUAACAGUAGACUUGCCAUUGAUACUGGCGCUCUUGAGUGCGCUUGAAGUGGGCGGAAUGUGCCGUGUAGCGGUGAAAUGCUUAGAUAUGGCACAGAACACCAAUUGCGAAGGCAGCUCACUAAGGCGAUACUGACGCUGAGGCACGAAAGCGUGGGGAUCGAACAGGAUUAGAAACCCGGGUAGUCC